This 746-nucleotide long non-coding RNA is filed under the name Capsicum annuum. Its description in RNAcentral is "long non-coding RNA (CANN_LNC009799)". The record is from RNAcentral. Lineage: Eukaryota; Viridiplantae; Streptophyta; Magnoliopsida; Solanales; Solanaceae.
AUAUAUACAAAACGUGAUUAAACUUGUAAACUACAAGUAGUACAUGUAUAUUCGUUGAAAUAGAAAAAGAAAAUGCUCCUUCGUACAUACAUCUUGGUCACAAAUCACAAUCAAAUUUGUCCACAAGUAUUUUUAAGUAGAUAACACUUAAUAACACAAGAAAAAGCUGGUCCAAAUAAGUAACUAUGAAAAUUCUGCUCGUCUUACUAGGAAAGAAACUAGAAAAUACAUGUAUUGUCCUACUAUAAGAAUAUAACAGCUAGCUAGGAAUAGUAUACAAACAAUUCUCCAAUAUGUAAGCACGAGGGGGGAAAUAGAGCUUAUAUUCAAUGCAUGGACAGUUUAAAUAAUUUUUAUUCAUCAGUACAUUAACAAAAUACGCUCUACAGCAACAUCGAUGUAGUUAUUUAGUACUCUAUUCGGUUUUAUUUGUUAUAUUUUAAAUUGACACAUCUAUUAAGAAAAAUAAUUAAUAACAUGACUACUUUUUAUCGGAGUAUCCCUAUUAAGUGAUGCUUACAUUGUAUCUUGAAACUAAUUGAAAAAAAAAUAAUUAAUAUUAAGAGUGAAAUAGAAAAAAAUUGUAGUAAAACUAGAAAUUCAAUUAGGAAAUUAGUAACAAGUAAAAGCGAACGGACGGAGUAGAAAGAUCCACCAAUAUUGUACUAUUACCAAUUAAUUACACUUAUAUAAUAUAAAAUUUUUACCCUAAUAUAAUUUACGCUCAAUAUUUAACACUAUUACAU